This 253-nucleotide ribosomal RNA is filed under the name uncultured bacterium. RNAcentral describes it as "partial 16S ribosomal RNA". It matches the Rfam family "Bacterial small subunit ribosomal RNA", at positions 524 to 776 of the family's 1533-position model. The record is from RNAcentral.
GACGGAGGGGGCUAGCGUUGUUCGGAAUUACUGGGCGUAAGGAGCGCGUAGGCGGUUUAGUAAGUUGGGAGUGAAAGCCCGGGGCUUAACCUCGGAAUUGCUCUCAAAACUGCUAGGCUAGAGUAUGGUAGGGGAUGGUAGAAUUCCUAGUGUAGAGGUGGAAUUCUUAGAUAUUAGGAGGAAUACCGGUGGCGAAGGCGGCCAUCUGGACCAUUACUGACGCUGAGGCGCGAAAGCGUGGGGAGCAAACAGG